CCAAUAGCGUACAUUAAAGUUGUUGCAGUUAAAAAGCUCGUAGUUGAACUUCGGGGUCUACCCAUUGGUCAGGCUUAAUUGUCUGCACUGGUGAGAUGGAUCUCUACCUUCUGAGGAACUUUCAUGCCAUUUAUUUGGUGUGGUUGGAAAUCAGGACUGUUACUUUGAAAAAAUUAGAGUGUUUAAAGCAGACUAUCGUUUGAAUACAUUAGCAUGGAAUAAUGAAAUAGGACGGACUGAUUCUAUUUCGUUGGUUUCUAGGAUCACCGUAAUGAUUAAUAGGGAUAGUUGGGGGCAUUAGUAUUCAAUUGUCAGAGGUGAAAUUCUUGGAUUUAUUGAAGACUAACUACUGCGAAAGCAUUUGCCAAGGAUGUUUUCAUUAAUCAAGAACGAAAGUUAGGGGAUCGAAGACGAUCAGAUACCGUCGUAGUCUUAACCAUAAACUAUGCCGACUAGGGAUCGGACGAAGUUAAUUUUAUAAUGACGCGUUCGGCACCUUACG
Molecule: ribosomal RNA, 502 nt
Filed under: uncultured Glomeromycotina
Lineage: Eukaryota; Fungi; Glomeromycota
Description: partial small subunit ribosomal RNA
Rfam family: Eukaryotic small subunit ribosomal RNA
Source: RNAcentral